GUCGUGGUCUCCCGGUUCUCUGGCAGUAGUGACUCUCAGAAACUGGGGAGCGGGCGGGCGGAGAAGUCUUUGGCACCUCGUCUUCCCCGUCUUGACCACUACGGCUAGCUGACUUGGACCUUGGAAAUAGAGUUCAUCCACCAACGCUUCAGCUCUAGGCACAUGUGUGUGUUCCAUUUUCUGUUUCAGCCAUGCAUGGCUUAGGUGAAUGUUCCAUAUUAGGAGACAGACAAGCUUGAGACUGCAAGAGGGCGGGGCUGGGAUCUGGAAGGCUUCACGGAAGAGUUGACUUUGGGACUGUGUUGAAAGAAGCCAGGAGAGGGGGAUAACCCAACUGAAGUAAGACUUCAGAAGGUAGAUAGAAGGAACCCCCAACUGUUAUGCCCCCAAGUGGACCCACAUCGAGAACCUGCUGGCUGAACACCUGCCUCAGGGUAUGGAUGUCAUCUCCAAAGUCCCACCUGGCAUCUCAUGGACAGUGCCUCAAAAGGUGACUGACUUCAGAGGUGCACCUUUGGCCCUGGCUAUUGGCAAGCUGGUUUUAGGUGAGAAAAAGACAAAUCCUUACAUUACUGGAGGAUUUUUGGCAGGUACUCUUUAUCUUAGCAGGACCCCUGGUUUCAAUGGGGGCGGGGGUUCUACGCCAGUGCUCUGUCGGUAAUCUACAGCCUAGCCC
Molecule: long non-coding RNA, 676 nt
Filed under: Cricetulus griseus (Chinese hamster)
Lineage: Eukaryota; Metazoa; Chordata; Mammalia; Rodentia; Cricetidae
Description: lncRNA (ENSCGRG00015029501.1)
Source: RNAcentral